Molecule: ribosomal RNA, 451 nt
Filed under: uncultured bacterium
Lineage: Bacteria
Description: partial 16S ribosomal RNA
Rfam family: Bacterial small subunit ribosomal RNA
Source: RNAcentral
AGCGAACGCUGGCGGCAUGCCUAACACAUGCAAGUCGCACGGGGGGGCUUCGGCCUCCCAGUGGCGGACGGGUGAGGAACGCGUAGGGACCUGUCGAGGGGUGGGGGAUAACCGCGGGAAACUGCGGCUAAUACCGCAUGACGCCGCGGCGUGACAGCCGGGGCCAAAGGCGAAAGCCGCCCGCCGAGGGGCCUGCGUCCGAUUAGCUGGUUGGCGGGGUAGCGGCCCACCAAGGCGUCGAUCGGUAGCUGGUCUGAGAGGGUGAUCAGCCACACCGGGACUGAGACACGGCCCGGACUCCUACGGGAAGCAGCAGUGGGGAAUAUUGGACAAUGGGCGCAAGCCUGAUCCAGCAAUGCCGCGUGGGUGAAGAAGGUCUUCGGAUUGUAAAGCCCUUUCGGCGGGGACGAUGGUGACGGCACCCGCAGAAGAAGCCCCGGCUAACUUCGUG